UACGUAGGUGGCGAGCGUUGUCCGGAUUUACUGGGCGUAAAGGGAGCGUAGGCGGACUUUUAAGUGAGAUGUGAAAUACUCGGGCUCAACUUGAGUGCUGAAUUUCAAACUGGAAGUCUAGAGUGCAGGAGAGGAGAAUGGAAUUCCUAGUGUAGCGGUGAAAUGCGUAGAGAUUAGGAAGAACACCAGUGGCGAAGGCGAUUCUCUGGACUGUAACUGACGCUGAGGCUCGAAAGCGUGGGGAGCAAACAGG
RNAcentral lists this ribosomal RNA (253 nucleotides) under uncultured bacterium. RNAcentral describes it as "partial 16S ribosomal RNA". It matches the Rfam family "Bacterial small subunit ribosomal RNA", at positions 524 to 776 of the family's 1533-position model. The record is from RNAcentral.